CAGGACAUAGUUUAACAAGAAUAUUGGCUUUGGGGGCCAGAGGUGGGGGUUGUACCCUUUGUCCUGA
RNAcentral lists this transfer RNA (67 nucleotides) under Synapturanus sp. AF238. RNAcentral describes it as "tRNA-Pro". It matches the Rfam family "tRNA". From Rfam's summary of the family: Transfer RNA (tRNA) molecules are approximately 80 nucleotides in length. Their secondary structure includes four short double-helical elements and three loops (D, anti-codon, and T loops). Lineage: Eukaryota; Metazoa; Chordata; Amphibia; Anura; Microhylidae. The record is from RNAcentral.